UCUCCGUAGGUGAACCUGCGGAGGGAUCAUUACAGAGUUCAUGCCCUACCGGGUAGAUCUCCCACCCUAUGUUAUUAUUACUUUGUUGCUUUGGCGGGCCGUUAGGCUCCGGCCCGACUACCGGCCCCGGCUGGUAAGCGCCCGCCAGAGGACCCAAAACCCUGAAUAUUAGUGUCGUCUGAGUACUAUAUAAUAGUUAAAACUUUCAACAACGGAUCUCUUGGCUCUG
RNAcentral lists this unclassified non-coding RNA (229 nucleotides) under plant metagenome. Its description in RNAcentral is "partial contains small subunit ribosomal RNA, internal transcribed spacer 1, and 5.8S ribosomal RNA". The record is from RNAcentral.